UACAGAGGGUGCAAGCGUUAAUCGGAUUUACUGGGCGUAAAGUGCGCGUAGGUGGCCAAUUAAGUCAAAUGUGAAAUCCCCGAGCUUAACUUGGGAAUUGCAUUCGAUACUGGUUGGCUAGAGUAUGGGAGAGGAUGGUAGAAUUCCAGGUGUAGCGGUGAAAUGCGUAGAGAUCUGGAGGAAUACCGAUGGCGAAGGCAGCCAUCUGGCCUAAUACUGACACUGAGGUGCGAAAGCAUGGGGAGCAAACAGG
This 253-nucleotide ribosomal RNA is filed under the name uncultured bacterium. RNAcentral describes it as "partial 16S ribosomal RNA". It matches the Rfam family "Bacterial small subunit ribosomal RNA", at positions 524 to 776 of the family's 1533-position model. The record is from RNAcentral.